GAGUUUGAUCCUGGCUCAGGAUGAACGCUGGCGGCGUGCCUAAUACAUGCAAGUCGAGCGAACGGACGAGAAGCUUGCUUCUCUGAUGUUAGCGGCGGACGGGUGAGUAACACGUGGAUAACCUACCUAUAAGACUGGGAUAACUUCGGGAAACCGGAGCUAAUACCGGAUGAUAUUUUGAACCGCAUGGUUCAAAAGUGAAAGACGGUCUUGCUGUCACUUAUAGAUGGAUCCGCGCUGCAUUAGCUAGUUGGUAAGGUAACGGCUUACCAAGGCAACGAUGCAUAGCCGACCUGAGAGGGUGAUCGGCCACACUGGAACUGAGACACGGUCCAGACUCCUACGGGAGGCAGCAGUAGGGAAUCUUCCGCAAUGGGCGAAAGCCUGACGGAGCAACGCCGCGUGAGUGAUGAAGGUCUUCGGAUCGUAAAACUCUGUUAUUAGGGAGAACAUAUGUGUAAGUAACUGUGCACAUCUUGACGGUACCUAAUCAGAAAGCCACGGCUAACUAC
RNAcentral lists this ribosomal RNA (512 nucleotides) under uncultured microorganism. RNAcentral describes it as "bacterial SSU rRNA". It matches the Rfam family "Bacterial small subunit ribosomal RNA", at positions 9 to 504 of the family's 1533-position model. The record is from RNAcentral.